Non-coding RNA from Rattus norvegicus (Norway rat), 36580 nucleotides. The record is from RefSeq and is a predicted model, not a curated record. NCBI's taxonomy places the organism in Eukaryota, Metazoa, Chordata, Mammalia, Rodentia, Muridae.
CGCGCGGCGCCCGGCACUCGUGCCGCGGCGGUUGGCGGUUGGCGGGCGGGGCAGGCGAGGGCGGCCCAGCCUGUGGGGCCGCGGCGUAGCCUCGGGGCAGCCGGGUAGGGCCUCGGGGCAGGGAGGCCCAGUGCACCGGAGCAGCGCGGCCCGGACGUGUUUGGGGGCCCAGGCCCGGCCUGCAACGGGUCUCGGUCCUCCCGCAGCGCUCCUCCCUCUGUCCCCAAGCGCAUAGCUGUGGGGCCCAGCAUGCGGGGCCUGGGGCGGGGAGCUGGACGGGUCGGGAACCGAACCCCGGGGCCCCGGGACCGCGAUCGUCUGCUUGGACGCAGUUCCACGCUGGGCAGCCGCCCUCCCCAUUCAAGUGCUAAUCGCCCUGCGAUUUCCUAGCGGAGCGGGUGGCCGCCGUGGCACCCCUUCCCACCAGCGUGCCCGUUUCUCUGGAAAAGUUCCAGAAAACUUAAAAACACGAACGUAUUUUCCCACCCCGCUUUUCGAGCAGAGUGGAGGGCGGUUUACUCGCGGGGUUGAGAAAACAAGUGUUGGGAGGCUUUUUCGCCUUCUCCCGCCAGGCACGUGGCUCCAUUUCCCGGCCGCCCCGCCGCUUGCUCGGGCUCAGCCUGCCCCCCUUUGUCCGCCAGGCUGUACUUGGCGCCCGCGGGCCCUCCCUGCUGCCCACCUGACCUAGUGGUUCGGCCCUGGGGCCUCCCCAGACUUCUUCACUGUGGGGUCUGGAAGCCUCCCAGAUCCUCCCGGGUUCCCUACGGUGCUUGCUCCGGAGCCUAGUGCGCCUCCUCUCCUGAUGUCAUAGGGCUCCUCGAAUGCCCACUGACCAACUUCUAAAUGCGUUAAAGGGCUUCCCAGUAAUUUGAAGACCCUUUUAACCUUGCGCUUGGGAGGUGUCCGGGUCCUGGAGGCAGAUGUUGGGGUCUGGAGGUCCCCUGCGAAAUGACCAGGGCAGCCUCCUGCCAGAUUGGGAAUCCCCCCUCCCCCCCAGCUCAGCGCUGUGGAGGAACCCAGCAAACAUUAACUCCGAAUAUGUACGUUUUUCCUGAGUGUCAGUUUCUAGUGAUCUUCUUGGAGACGAGGCCAUGCUUUUCUCUAUUUUGCGUGUUGAUCCUUUCAGCUUGCCACAGUGGGCCUUUCUGGAGACAGGCAGUGGAGGCUCAGAGAGGUUUAAGAACCCUUUAACAUCCGGGAGCCUGCAUUAGGACAACCUGUUUGAGCACUCCUAUAGAAAUGGUUUCCCAGUCCCUUUGACCUUGACCCCACUGUUGGAAGCACUUGUUUGGUGUGGAUUAGACCAGUGAAUUCCCAAGUAGGGUGGAAAGGAAGAGCCUACUGUGUGUUCCGCGAGGGCAUCUUUGUUGCCUUUUCAAAAAGAAUGCGGUAGCCUGGAUCAACCGGUUCAUUUUGGUCACUGGCAGCUUUGAAGAUGGCUGCUGCUGCGUGGGCCUCCGCAUUGUGGCCUAAGGGAGAGACAGUCCCCUCUAACCAGAAAGCCUUGGGUGAGAAAAGAGAUGCCUGUAGGGUAAUUCUUGGCUAAUGGCAGGCUGGGAAGGAACCCAAGUUUCAGGUGGGCCAGUGUGCUGUAAUUGCAAGGCUGGAGUGCAGCUCCAUUUUAUUGCACAUAGCACAUACAAAGGCUUUUAAUUUUGUUUACAAGGAACCCCUCCACCUCCAUCCUUCAAAGAGACUCCAUAUUUCCAAGUUUAGGAGAAUGGAAGGCCAUUGGAUCUGAAUUAAAGAAAAGUUACCAAGUUUUGCUGUUUCCGAGCUUGAUGGGAAGUAAAUACUUAGUAAAUUAACUUUAAAAAUAGAAUCCACAGUGGGUUCUCAUUGUGUCUGUUACAAAUACUGUUACAUGUGUGAGAUUAGUAGCACUGGGGGCCAAGGUUCAGAACCUCACAGAUUUUUCUUUCCUAUUGGAAAAGGUUAGUGGUUUAGGGUAGAUAAAUUCUCUUCCCACCCUGAAAUUUCCUAGAUAGUGGGUUCUAGGUGGGGUUUCCCCCAUCGAAGGAUCUUAAACUGUCUGGGAGGAGCUUUGCCUCCUGCAAAGAGAUGCUCCUGCUUUAUAGCCUAUGAAUAUUUGCUACAAAAUAACCUCGGAGACUGUGGAAACCCGACUGAGAGCUGCGGAUCACGACUGCGUCUUUGAUCAUCGCUUUACUCUCUGUGGUCUCCAAUGGCAGCAGUUAGCCCCUUCCCCCACCCUCCUCCCCAAUUCACAGUUUUGUCUGAGGGUACCACUGCUGCCUGGCGGCCUGUGUGCUGCAGGGAAAGCGUUGCCAACAGCUGGAAGGCACAGCCGGGUGGCUGAGCACUUGUGGGAAAUCUUCCCCCCAGGAGCUUGUGAAGGGAUUUAAAUAAGUGUUCAGGGGAAAAGAUGUAAAAGCUUUGACUUACACAUUCUUAAGAAGCAACAUUUUGUAACUUUUGAGUUUUCUCUGUCAACACCAUUGGGUUUAUUCUUUACAAUUAAAGAGGCUGGGGUUCCAGCAUGAUAAAAAUGUUUCUUUUUCCUCUCUUCUUUUAAUUUUAUGAAUCGUUAUUGUGGGAAAUGUAUCACAAGAUUUCUUUUAAAAAGGUUCUGCUGGGAAGUGAUUUUACAAACAUGAAAAGGCAAGGUGUCAAAGGAUUUUGUUUCUCCUGCAGUUGUCAGUGUUCCCACCUUGUCAGCUGUCCCUUCCCCCCUUUUACAUCCUAAAACAUUCCAAACCUGUCAUUUCACCCACAGGUUUGUGUGCACAGAGUACAGGGAGUCAAGCGCCCCCCUCCCCCUUUCUGAAACAGGGUGGGCUGUAUAGCCCAGGUGGGUUUCUAACUCACCUUCCUGUCUCUGCUUCCUGAGUCUUGGGAUUACAGGUCACCAUGAUGGGCUGGUGAAGGGACAUAAUGAGUACUACCAACUUUUGUUGGUAUGCCAGGGGGGUCGUUAGUUCUCUUGGCUUCAGAAAGCAAUUGGCUUGCUUUUUAGAUUUAUUUGUAUUUAUGUAUGUUGGUGUAUGUAUGUACGUAUGUAUGUGUACCACAUGUGUACAUUGUCCCAAAGGCCAGAAGAGGGCAUCAGAUCUUCUGGAAGCAGAGCCACAGACAGGUGUGAGUUUCUGUGUGGGUGCUGGGAAUUGAACCUGGGUCCUCCCUGCAAGAGCAGCAAAGUGCUCUUAACUGCUGAUCCAUCUGUCCAGCCCCUAAAAUUGAUGUUAGAAUAUGGACUUAGUAGAACGUGUACAUUUGCUUUCCUGUCUUCUAAAUCGUUCUUGCUUUUGUUUUCUAGAAACGGCAUCUUACUAUCUAGCCUGGGCUGGCUCUCAGUUUGCUUAUGUCCCCUUAUGGGAGAUCAACUGGAUGCCACCAUACCAGCUUUACCUAUCUACCUGCCCUUCAGAGUUCUCCGCUUGGUUUCCUGUUCGGUGGUAGACCCACCAGUUCGGGUCCAUUCUGACUCCAUCACCUGAGGGGGCUUUUGCAAAAUUUUUGUGAAAUUCAUAGUUGCAGCAGGAGGAGCCUUUUUUAAAUUUUUUUUCAUUUUUAAAAAAUGUAUAUGAGUACACUAUCACUGUCUUCAGACACACCAGAAGAGGGCAUCAGAUCCCAUUACGGAUGGUUGUGAGCCACCAUGUGGUUGCUGGGAAUUGAACUCAGGACCUCUGGAAGAGCAGUCAGUGCUCUUAGCCGCUGAGCCAUCUCUCCAGCCCAGUAGCCUACUUCUACAUGGCCUGUUUCUACACUUUCAGCACAUGCCAUUCAACACAUAGAAAGUCAAAGCCAGGGUCACGCUGUUGCCCAAGGUGGGUUUUUCCUUCCCGUGUUCUGGGCUCCAGUGUGGGUGGAGGAGCCAUGCUCUGUCUUGUGUGCUCUCUCCCUUUAUCUACCCCAACUGUCCUGUGCACCGUGCAGCUCUGCCCCACCAGCACACUAUCUCAAGGCCAGUAAGGCAGGCUGGCCCAGACCCAGCCUGCUGCCUUAUGCCUUCCUUUCAUUUUGGAUGGUUAGAGUGAAGCUCUGGUGACAUAGUCUCUACCUACAACCAAUUUGCCUUUUUACCUCUAAGGUCCUCUUUUGAGACCAAACACUGGACUCUCCUAUCUGUUUUUCUGUAGAGUUGUGCAGCAUUCUUCAUCUAAACUGGGAGCUUUCUCCCGUCAAGUGAGGGACUGGGACUGCAGGCAGACCCAGAGGGCUAUCCCCAAGUCAGGCUUGGGGGCUCAACAGGCCCGACUGCAUCCACUUGCUUCUCAGCCAGUGCAUCUGGGGCCCUCCUGCUGCCUGAAGGUGCACGUGUGGUGUCCCUGAGAUGCCCCAAGCAGGCCCUCUGCUGUCUGCCAGGAGCAAGGUGCUUCUGAGUCUUGGGCACUGGACCAGCAUUGGGGCACUCCAUUCUUGGUCUUCCCAUAGGAAGAAGGAGCAGUGGACAGAUGAAUGUGUUUAUCCACUUCAGUUCUGUUCUCUUAGGCAUGCGUGGUGAAUUGGUCUUCUGCGUGGGUCUCAGUUCCUUGUGGAGCUUGGGAGAUGUUGCCCAGGUUGCUCAUUCCCUCUGGGCUUUGUGACUUGGGAUUCCUUCCCUUCCCCUAUGGUGCAGGCUAGAGGGAAGUCAUAGGCAUGUGUCCCCCAGUCAUCUUGAGAGCAUUCUGUCAGGAUUGCUGGUUACUCGAGGUAGCCGGCCAGGGCCCGCCCGAGUCCAUGUUGAAGUCCAGCCUGCAGAGCUAGGACUGCACCGUUGCCUGCAAGUGCCGUGUGGUUGGUGUGAGUUCCCAUCAGGCAGUUCUUAGACAUAUUUAAGACUGAGCAGCGUCUUACGGCGAUGCAGAGAUCACUGAAAAGUCUCCGCCUCCCUGUGUAUUCCGUGUGUCUGCACACGUGUGGUUGGUUCAUUGUCUCUGCUGGUCCUGACUCCCAGGGCCUCACUUGAAGCUGAGUCCUUGGAAGCAUCUUGACUGGGUCACUGGAGAGCAAGUGGCCAGGGCAGCUCGAGUCACUUUGGGCAGCGAGGGAGUGAGGAGUUGACUUGGGGAUUAGGCAGCUGGAUGGUGCCAAUGGUUUAAAGAGAGAGAGGAAUUGGGACCUAGGACAUGAAACUAUGGGACCUUGGAAGACCAGGUUAGCAUCUGUGGGGGUCAGAGAAUGUUGUGGGGGAGGAGGCCUGGGCAGAAACUGUUACCCAAGAGCUGAGGCACUGGGUGGUCAGGCUCUUGACCGGUCUUCCAACAGUUCUUAUUCACAUGUGUGUUUGGGCAGGAGCUGCCAGCCACACUGGGAUGGGAGUGGAAAGAAAAGUUGUAGGUGGUUGGUUGGUUGGGACCCACUUUGAAUGGAGUGACCCAUGGACCCCUGCCCCCUUUUUAAUUUAAAAUGUAUUGUUUAUCCUUUUUUCUAGUAAUUUCAUGUGCGUUGAUGUUUUGCAUGUAUAUCUGUGUGAGGGUAUUGGGCAGAGUUACUGACAGCUGGGAUCUGUCACGUGGCUGCUGGGACUUGAACCCUGGUCCUCUAGAAGAGCAGCCAGUGCUCUUAACCGCUGACUCAUCUUUCUAGGCAUGGACCCUUUCUUAUGGUUGUGGGAGGAUUGACAGAACUUGUGGGGGAGGCCCCCGGCUCCCUGGGCGAGUCAUGGGGAGCUCUCUAUCAGCUCUGUCAGCUCUCCCCGCCUUCUUCACCUGGGGGAAGGAGAUGGCGGUGGGUUGUGGGCUGUGACAGUUACUUCUGUUUUACUGAAAUGAAGCGCCAUGACCAAGGCAGCUUACAGAAGAGUGUUUAUUUGGGGCUUAUGGUUCUAGGGGGGUCAGAGUCCAUAAUGGUGAGGAGGCAUGGCGCCAGGAACAGGAAACUGAGAGCUCACAUUUUCAAACCUUUACCAGCAUGAAGCACAGUGAAACGAAAGAACAGUCUAUGCUCUUAAACCCACCUCUAGGGACUCGCCUCUCCUAACAAGGCCACAACCAGCGACAUUUCUCAUUCACACCACUGUGGGGGUGACAGGAGUUGAGCCAGUGCCAUGUCAUCCUAUUAGGCACUAAGUCUCUGUGGGACUUCAUGAAGGCUGAGUGAACCCAGCACAUGGUCCAGCGGGAUAGCCAUUGAGUUUGUACCUUCAUCAGGACAACUGUCAGGAGACAAUCAUCUCAUGGCCACAGCAGGAAGAGAGGCCAGAUUUCAUGGUGUCCUAACUCGUGCUCUGCCAGUGGUGAACUAAGGUCAACGGUCUGCAGGCGUUGGGCUGAGGGUGGGUGGUUCCGAGUGCUGAGGGGCAAUCUGAAGCUUCGGUGAGGGCUGGGUGUGAGCUUGGAAAAGUCGGAUGAAGCGGAUAAGGCUUUGGGCCCCCACAGCUGGCACUCGGUCACCUUCCCCACCUGCACUCUGAAGACCCGGGACAUUCCCAGGUGAGUUCUGUUGCCAAGGGCUGUGAGUAGGGGUUCUGAGAAGAUAGAAAGGAGUCGCAAGCAUUCCCAAGACUGCGGCUGCCCCGAGUGUGGCUGGCCCAGAAGCCUGGAUUGGAUGGACCCAAGAAAAUCAUCCCUGCCUGCCAGGCAGUCUAAGAGAGGGAAGAGAAGCCAGAUCUCCCAAACGGUUAAGUUCAUCUGCCUGUCUGUCUGCUUACCUGUCCCUCUUUCCUGAAAAUGCUUCAAGGUGUGAUCUAGGCCCACUGCUCUGAACUGCAGCUUGUCUGCUCUGUCCUUGAGCGUUAGGGUUAAGUCACCAUUAAGGAGUUCCAGAAAUGCUAUGGUCAGAGUGCUAUGCUUUUUUAAGCACCCGAAGCCACAAGGCUUGGGGACAGCUAGCACGUCCUUUUGUGAAGACCAGGACCGUAACAGGUGUCCUAGCUGGGGAUGUGAUCUGGAGAAUGGUCCAUGGGCUCUGGGAGUCCUGGCUGAGAGCCUGGUUUCCCUGGAUGGUGGCGUUGGGGGUGGGGUUUGGGGUUGAAAAAAACAGCACUGUGAAAUAAGUGGAAGAGAUGCUGAGGAGAGUGUGGUGGGGUGUGUGUGUGUGUGUGUGUGUGUGUGUGUGCGCGCGCGCGCGCGCGCGCGCGCGCGUGCAUGCAUGGCUGAGAGUGUGGUGGUGCAUGUGUGUGCAUGGCGUCAAGCAAAUGCAGAACUAGAUUGACCUCUGGAGAGAGUUGAAUUUCAUUCUGUUGGGUCACCCCUCCCUAGAGGAUCCUGGUUGCCUGCGGUGGCAAGGAGUUGCCUCGGUGUUCGUGGGAGACUGAGCCCUGGGCCUCACUUCUCAAGAGAGGGUAGGACACUUAUCAUCUACCACAGAGAGGGUGGAGCGAAGAUGCCCGCCCCAGGGCGUGCAAGAUCAGCCCUCGAGAGCUCGCUGUGGGUACCAAGUGUUACUCCAAAGAACAUUUAUCUGAAACGUGGUUUUUGUCUUAUUUUUGCACAGUUUUAUUGAGCGAGGUGUUUUUAAGUUCGUGUGGCAGAAUGUCAUGUGUUACAAAUCUUGUCAAGUCAUCCACCCUAUGCAUAAACCUCACACCCUGGGCAGGAGGCUGCCAUCGCUCCAGUCCUGGCCUCUGGGAUGGCGCCUGGAGCGCCCACUGGCACUGUGGUGGAUCCUGCCUGGCCCUCACCCUAGUCUGACCCAGCAGGACUCGGUGCAGUGGGUAUCUUGCCGUCCUCUGGUUCAAGUGGGUCUGCACUAUCAACAGGGAGAAGAAAAAGGUUGCCGCUUGAGAGCAGGGAAGUACUUUCAAAAUGACAGCCUUUCAAAAACUAGCUUACAUAACACACAGUUAACCCUUUAAGGGGCUGGAGAGAUGGCUCCGUGGUUAGUGCUGUUCUUGUUGAGAACCUGAAUUCCAUUCUCAGUGCCCACAGUGGAAGGAUCAUAACGGCCUGUAUCCAGCAUGAGGAGAUCUGAUUGUCCCCGUCCACACGCACCAACACCCAAAUAAAGUUCUCAAAUAGUGAGAACUUUGGGGUUUUUUUAAAACCACAGAACUAUGGGAGUUUGUUUUGUCUGUCAUCUCAGGUGUGGGCUAUGGGGCUGCUUCAGUGUCCACAGCUGGUGAUUAUGAUUGCCUCGUUGUGGGAGGAGCAUGGGCUUGCCAGCUGCAGAUAGUUUCUGCGUGUGUGCGAUGUUUGGGAUUCUGGGGACUUUUCAGAGGGUAUAUAAAUGCCAGAGCCCCAAAGAAAGGGGCUGGUAGGUGGCUGGGUGCUGUUGGUAGUGUCUGUUGCCAUUUGUCAAGUAGUCGUAAGCAAAGAGGAGAAAUUAGAUAUCCUAAUGUCUUAGGCAAAGAUCGAACUUGCCUCCAAGGAACUGGACACUAAUUAAUGAGGCCCCCUCUCCUACCCCUGACUUUAUUCGAGAAUUUUUUUUUUCUCUCUUUCCCUCUUUCUUUCUCUCUUACCUAGAGUUAGGGAGUUGAAAGGGAAGAAGAGUGGAAGAAAGAAGAAUCCACAAAGUAACCAGAAGUCAGGCCACAUCACACCCACGGUGACCCUCCAGUGUACAGAUUCCAGUGCCUGCUCUUAACCCCAUGCCCUCCUGCCAGGCUCUGGAGGCCAAGACUGGAUUCUGAAUUCCCUCACUUGAACCUUCCUUAUGAAUAGUCAUGAAUACGCGGUGUUUUGUGUCUGGGUGUUUGGCUUAGCAAUCUGCCGUGAAGAUUGUUUCAGCAUGCACCAGGACUUCGCCUUCUGCCUUUCUCCCCAACCUCAAUCUCCUUUCUCAGUUGGUUCUCACUAAUUACCCAGGCUGAUCUUGAACCCAUAGCUCAAGGGAUUUUCCACAGUAACUCUGAGUUCUGAACUUCCUUUUCUGUUAGCAUGUAGCACGUAUGGUGUGGAUUCCCCUCCCUCACUGUCUGUGUCCUUGGGGUCUUCCUUCCAGCUGUGGUUAGUAUGGGCCUCUGAACACUUGUGUCUAGGUUUCUGUGGCUUGUUGUGUUUUCAUAGUUACCCUGUAUGGGAGGUGGAGAACUUUUUACACUUCCUCUACCUGCUGUCAUCAUACAGAAGUGCCACUGUGCCUUGCCAGGUUUCAGUGGCAUUUCAGAGGUUUAGAAAGUGAAGGGGUUUUUGUUAUAAGUGGGAAGAGAAGUUGAAACAGGAUCUUGUCUGAAGAUGGCCUUGAACUGAAUAUGUAGCCAAGACAGACUAAACUGAUUUUUCCUGUCUCUGUCUUUUUUUUUUAAGAUUUAUGUAUGAAUGUAUGAAUGUGUAUAUAUAUGUAUUUAUGUAUUUAUUUAAUGUAUAUGUGUACACUGUAGCUGUCUUCAGACACACCAGAAGAGGGCAUCAGAUUCCAUUACAGAUGGUUGUGAGCCACCAUGUGGUUGCUGGGAAUUGAACUCAGGACCUCUGGAAGAGCAGACAGUGCUCUUAACCACUGAGCCAUCUCUCCAGCCCCAACCUCUGUCUCUGCCUCUUGAGUUGUGGGAUUACAGGUGUGGACCAGCAGGCCCAGUUUAGAAAGUGAUGUUCUUUGGUAAGCCCACCUUAGCCCUCAGAACUGGUGGGAAAUGUGAAGUCUACAUACUCUUUGGAGAUGGACCAAAGAGAGAUAAAGUGCACUUAUCUCAUUAGGACACAUUGUAGAAUUUGUAGCCUAGACACCAGAGGAGUGAUGGAGGGACUCUAAGAGUCCAGGAUCCUGAUCUGGGUCCUGGGGUCUGAGUAUUUGCUGUUAGUCCUGUGCAGCUGCCUCCUGCCCACCAGUGAAAAGCCAAACACAAAUGGGAACCAUGGGUCACUCCCACAUGCGUGGAUGACUGCAAGUGGCCCUCACAGAGUAGGAGGUACAGCCAGGUACAGCUUUCUGUCUGAGGGGACUGAGAAGGAGGCAGGACAGAAGAGAAAGGUGACUUUCGGUCUGACCUGCUCCAUCUCACAGGACGAAGAAUGGGGAGCCAGGUUGGGAUGGAUGGAUUCACGGGUGUGGCUGCAGCAGCGCUUGGGAGGCUGCCGCGAGCCAAGAAACUGGCUAUGCUGUUAUGAACCUGGAGAAAAAAUGGUGGUAAGGGGCUUUUAGUUGUGAAAAAGAUUCAAAUGUUCAGCAAAGUAGAGGAGAAAAAUCAAAAGCCUGUCCAUGCCUGAUGCUGUGUCAGGGGCGGAGCAGCCCCACCUGCCCCCACCUGCUAAGUUCAUCCUUUUCCCUCCUGCUGGGGACAGAAACCAGGCCUUGAGCACCAAGCAUAGGUUCCUAAUCCCUGAAAUGACUGCAGCCUUCCAGAGAGUGUAGCUGGGACUCACCUGGGAGCCCUGUGCUGUGCUCUCCAUGUAACACCUUAGAGACAGCAGGAAAGUCAUGGGCGUGUGGUCCAGCUCCCCGACCUCACUUAGCUCAGGCUGAGCUCUGUACUUUAAGCGUCUGAGUCCUUAGCCCUUUCCAGCAUUAUCCCUGGGUUGUGUGGUGGGGCUGUAGGCUUCCCAUCUGUCUUGUCUCUCAUGAUCCUGCCUGUCACAUUUAGGUGUGACACACAGUCUUUAGAUGCCCUCAUGGCUCAUGGGUUGUCACCUGCACCAUCCUUAAUGCCUCUUCUGUUCUCUGUUCUCCCUCCAGCUGCCAUCUGAACUGUGCUUUGUGCACUGCUGUAGGCCACUGUCAUCGUGUGAGGGCCUCUGCCCUGGGCUGAAGGUGACUAGUUUGUAGUUGAGAGUAACGGGGCCACUGUGUGGUGGCAGAAAUCGGAACCGCGAAGAGGCUGAGAGCCCUGACUUGGGCAGUCCAUUGUGGUGUUGUCCUAGGAGUAUCGGUUGCCACCAAGUGUGUGCCCAAGCUGUGGUUGGCGACUUGGCAACAGUAGCUGUUGAGGCCAGGGAUAGCCACCUGCCCCAUGUCAUUGUGUAGCUUGGCAUGUGUCCUCUGGUCUCUGUGUGGCACUGAUGAGGCCCGGAAGUUAGCAGCAUUUUCUCAAGAGGUGGCACUUAGGUGCCGUGGCCUCUUUGUUGAACAUGUCACAGUCUCCCGAGCGUGUACAGCCCCCACAGCCAUGUGGCCUUCGAUCUGGUGUUUUCUGGUCUUCAUGUUCAAGAGGUAUGUGUGCUCAUUUCAGAGAACUUAGGAGAUGAAAUAAAAAAGCUGGUGUCAGCCGAGCUUGGGUCAGAUGGGAGCAUGUCACAGGGUUGAGGCCGCUCUGUGAAGCCUCCUUUCCUGGAGCAUCAUGGUGAUUGGUCCUAACAUCCAUCACGGUGCUCAGCGCCUCUCUUAGUUCCUGCUCUGUCCCUGCCAGCCUUUGGGAAUCUCUUCUUUGCAGCCUCUUAUGUAUUGAGGGUGAUGCUGCAGUGUCACGUCUGGAGGGCUCCACGUUGCCUGCCUGCUAUCUGGCGUGGUUACUACUGAGAGAAGAGUAUCUGUGGUUUGGGAGGUCUAAACACAUGGAGGACAACUGGUUACUACUGAAAGCAGGGCGGUUGCCCACAGAGAUGCCAUGCUAAAACACUCUGCACCUUUUUAAGUGACUCCUUUCUGGAUGUGAACUGCAUCCAAGGCGAGGAAGGGAAGAUGCUGUCCCAGAUUUGGAGUGACCCUAGGAAAGUGGUUAGCUUCCGAGGCUUACGCCCUGCUUCCCUCGGUACUCAGUUCCCUGGGGUUUUUCCCGAGUCUGUAAAGUGGGAGUAGUAAUAGCUCUCCUUACUGUUAUUACAAGGAAUUGCUAUGCAUUCAUAUGAAAUUACCUCCAGCAUCAGAAUAAUUAGCACUGUGCCUUGUACUUUGUCUGUGCCAGUUAGUAAUAUGUAGUUGUCAUAUGGAGUCGCGGACUGAUUGUUCUUACUAUUGAGUUGAUCACGGGCUCUGGUUAAUAGGUGUCCCACUGGUCACACUGUUCCAUAGAGCCAGUGUGAAUGACUUUGCAGAGUCCUAGGUGGAGGUGUGCUGUGUGGCACACAUUCUUAAUUGCGAUUGUGAGUUUAGUGUAGGAAGAGGUGUCAUGGCUCCUCUGAGGAAUGCCAUUGUGGUCUGGGUGCUGGUGAGGUGGUGGCUGACUUGGGCUGUGGGGCACAGGACCUGAAGAUGAUGCCCUGUGAACCCCACCAAGAGAACCUCCUGAGCUCCUGUGUAGCGGGGCUCCCCGCAUUCUCUAGAAUUUUCCAUCAUGUCCUAAAAACGGCUCAGAGUUGGAGAUGGGGAUCUUGGUUGGAAGGACAGUAAUGGAGUCUUCCUCCUCUAACCUAUUUGAACAAGAAUACCACCUUUUGUCUUUGCAUGUGAAUUUGCAGAAAUUUGGUCAGAUGCUGUCAAAAGUUGUUUUCUAAACAAAGCCAUAGAAAAGACAGCAGACAUGUGACUAUGUGAUGCAGUAAUGAAUUCUAAUUCAAUCCAGGUCUAAGACAGGGCAGGGCACCUAGGAACAACAUGGAGUCUCUUAGCAGUGUGGAGACCAUGUGAGUCAGACAUAUAAGGGGAAGGAGCCGCCGUGUGUGCAGAGUACAGGAGAGGAGAGAAGCCUUGUCUGAGAAUGCAGGACAGAGAGGCAUGGCCACCAUGUGAAGGAGCCAGGAGAGCAGGGUCCAGAGCACAGCCCAAUUGGGCAGCCAACUGGAUCCAGGACAGACAGAUAGAACAUAAAAUUAGUAAGUAAUAACUCGAGAUUACCAGUGGGAGAUCAUGGAGGUUAGACAGUGGCCCAGCUACUGUGCUGUUUGAGGCAUCAAAAUAUAAGGCUGAUUGUGUGUCUUUCGUUUGGGAAUGCAAACCAUUGAGGCGGGUAGUGAGCCAAAAAUGUAUUCAUCUGUCUCUCACCAGGUCAGCCUGGCUCAUAAACCAAGGCCUCCUGAAAGAGGGAAUGCCCUGGACCUGCCCAUCUGACCUCUGUGAGGCCCGCAGCACAGGACCCAUAUUAGGAACUAGUUUGGGACCGCCAGGGUCUUUAUUAAAGAGCAAAUGGAUGUUGAUUGAUUGAUUGAUUGAUUUGUUUAUUUAUUUAUUUAUUUAUUUUUAAGAACAGUCUUCCCGGGGCUGGGGAUUUAGCUCAGUGGUAGAGCGCUUACCUAGGAAGCACAAGGCCCUGGGUUCGGUCCCCAGCUCCGAAAAAAAGAACCAAAAAAAAAAAAAAAAAAAAAGAACAGUCUUCCCAUGUCGUUCUGGCUGGCCUGAAACUCACUAUGUAGACCAGGCUGGCCUGGAACUAACUUACAGAGAUCUGCUUGCCUCUGCCUCCCAGAUGCUGAGAAUAAAGGCCUGUACCACCACCACACACUUGAAUUUUUUUCUUUUAAGGUUGGUAUUUUGAAUUCUAAGUGACGGUUUGGUUUUGUUGUGACAGCAGCCUGAUGAGUGCAACAGGAACUGUUUUUUCUUGGCCUGUACCCCUGGAGGGUUUGCUGCCGCCGCCAAGCUUGCUGUCACACACUCUUGUGGAGGGUUAAAGUGUCUGUUGCUCAGUCUUGCCUUUCUGUCAGGGGAUUGGGCUGGGAGCCUGCUUCUGUAGGUUGCUCUGGAAUGUUCUGGCUUGGACCCUUUAAGUGGUAGGAUGGUGGCCCAUUGGGGCCAUUUGUAUCUAGUCCAGUUGUGUGUUUCUGGCCUUGGAGCUCCACAGACUAGAGCAGGAGGGUGCCAGUGUUGUCUCCCAGGGGCUUCAUGGUUCUGUGUUGGGACCCAGGUCUGGCCUCACAAGAGCAGGGCAAGUGCUCUACUAACUGGGCCACGCACCCACCCAGCCCUUUCUGUCUUGUUUUGGUCUUUUUAUACGAUUAAACUAAAAACAUCGAAAAACCGAGAGAAGGAAGGCAGUGAGUGAGUGACCUUGCUAUGAGAUGUGGGCUACAGCCCUUGGUUUCCCUGGCCCAUCCUGCAGGUCCUGAGGCCUGGUGAGUGAGGUACGUGAUAAACCCGCCCUUUAACCCGGAGCCUGGCUGCCAGGUGGAGAGCGUUGUCUGCCCAUUCUGAGGGCAGAGGCACCCCUGUUUGUUCAGCGACUUUCCCUGGUGCGAUUUUAUGUAUUUUGAAGUGAACAAUGUUUACUGUCUCUUGAGCUAAGCACUCAAUAAAUGGCUGUUUAAACUGUAAUAACCAGAUAACCGUGGAGGACACAGUGAUUUGCCAAACUUCAAAAGCCAGGGCAGGAUAUGUGCCUGGUCCCUAGCUUUGGGGUUCUGAAAAUCCAGAGCUGGCACAGAUGCCCCGAGCACCCCAGACCCUCCCCCAUCCUAUGUUGGCUUCAGCAGAUGACGACUGGCUCAGUCUGAGGACUCGCAAGGCUUGAAUGGCUCGCAAGCCCCUGGGCUGUGGUAAUUGCCCGUGACUAACAAGGUGGCCCUUCAUGACCCUCAGUGUCAGGUGGUGGCUUCCUCCCAGAGGCUCCGGGUACAGUGUGCCACACAUUCACUUCCUAAGACCCAGCACCUUACACGGAGAAAGAGUCUGCUCCAUCAUCGAGUUUCCCCAGCCCCUUAAUACUGGGUGUAGACACACAUGUCCAUGACCCCAGGACUUGAGAGGCUGAGACAGGACGACUUCAAAAUUGAAGUCCUAGUGAAACCCUGUCUCAAAAUAAACCAACCAAACCAAGACUAGUGGAGUGGAGUGUGGGGGUGCAUUCAUUCCCAGUUCUCGGGAGGCAGGGGCAGGCGGCUCUGAGUUUGAAGCCAGCCUGGUCUACCGAGCAUGUUCCUGAACAGCCAGGGCUACACAGAGAAACCCUGUCUAGGAAAACAAGACAAGACAAAACACCAAACCAUGCAAAAAGGAUCUAUUUUAAGAGGCAACAAGCCAAAUAUAUAUUAAUAUAAACAUUACAUGGAAGGCAGUUUUUAAAAGAAAAAUGGGGGUUGGAGAUUUAGCUCAGUGGUAGAGCACUUGCCUAGCAAGCACAAGGCCCUGGGUUCGGUCCCCAGCUCCGAAAAAAAGAAAAGAAAAAAAAAAAAAGAAAGAAAAAUGUAAUGUGAGUUAUUGUGUAGCUUGUGUGUCUGUGUCUGUGUGUCUGUGUAUCUGUGUGUCUGUGUCUGUGUGCGUGUGUCUGUGUCUGUGUGUGUCUGUGUGCGUGUGUCUGUGUGCGUGUGUCUGUGUGCGUGUGUCUGUGUGCGUGUGUCUGUGUCUGUGUGCGUGUGUGUGCGUGUGUCUGUGAGUGUGUCUGGGUGUGUGUCUGUGUGUGUGUCUGGGUGUGUGUCUGGGUGUGUGUGUCUGUGUGUGUGCCUGGGUGUGUGUCUGUGUGUGUGUGUCUGUGUGCGUGUGUCUGUGUGCGUGUGUCUGGGUGCGUGUGUCUGUGAGUGUGUCUGUGCGUGUGUCUGUGUGUGUGUCUGGGUGUGUGUCUGGGUGUGUGUGUCUGUGUGUGUGCCUGGGUGUGUGUCUGUGUGUGUGUGUCUGUGUGCGUGUGUCUGUGUGCGUGUGUCUGGGUGCGUGUGUCUGUGUGCGUGUGUCUGGGUGUGUGUGUCUGUGUGUGUCUGUGUGUGUGUGUGUGUCUGUGUGUGUGUCUGUGUGUGUGUGUGUGUGUGUCUGUGUGUGUGUCUGUGUGUGUCUGUGUGUCUGUGUGUGUGUCUGUGUGCGUGUGUCUGUGUGUGUCUGUGUGUGUGUCUGUGUGUGUGUCUGUGUGUGUGUGUCUGUGUGCGUGUGUCUGGGUGUGUGUGUCUGGGUGUGUGUCUGGGUGUGUGUCUGGGUGUGUGUCUGGGUGUGUGUCUGGGUGUGUGUGUCUGUGUGUGUCUGGGUGUGUGUGUCUGGGUGUGUCUGUGCGUGUGUCUGUGCGUGUGUCUGUGUGUGUGUGUGUGUGUGUGUGUCUGUGUGUGUCUGUGUGUGGUGGGGCUUUCUUAAGAUCUGGCCCCCAAAAGGGCUGUGAUUGGCAUUCAUUAUGCAGGACACAGAAGACAGCAGCCUGCCUCAUAGAUCUGUGGGCUGUGCCCUGCUGAGGAUGUAUUGCUAAUGUGGAUACCAGACCCUGCAACUAUCGACUCAGACCUCAGGCUCCAGUCCUACUGAGAAAAUUGUGCAUGUGACCUUGCGAUAGGGUCCAAGCAAAAGUCAUCUGAGCAGGAGUAUUAAUACGAAUGUUGCAUUUAGACUUGGGUCCCAUCCCCAAGAUGGCUCCUUACAUAGCACAGAUAUUUGGAAGUUGGAAAUAGUUCUCCCAAGCCAGUUGGAUGAGGGGGUAUUCAAGCUACCAUAAUUUCCAUCCUGCCCUGCCCCCAGCCCCUUCCCUUUCAAGUGUAGGUCCCAAGCCAAUUGGAUGAGGGAUACUGAAGCUAUAGUAAUUUCUGGCUUGUGCUGCUCCGCCCAAAACCAGCCCUACCCUCUCCCAAAGGGCUACUGUGGGGUGGGGUGUGUGUGUGUGUGUGUGUGUGUGUGUGUGUGUGUGUGUGUUCAUUUUUGAGACUAAAUUAGAUGACACUAGCUUUGCACCUCCCUGUAUUGGAGUUGUAGGCAGUGUACACAAUGUGAGCCACCAUGUGGUUGCUGGGAUUUGAACUCAAGACCUUUGGAAGAGUAGUCAGUGAGUGCUCUUAACCACUGAGCCAUCUCUCCAGCCCAUUGCACACAAUGUUUAUGUGUGUUUGACACAGUGUCUCAUGCCCUGGAACUGUUGAUCCUCCUGCCUCAGCCUCCAUAUUGUUUUCUUUUUUAAAAGACUAAUGAGAAGCAGCAAUCAGAUGCCAAAAGGUCCUCAGCUAGGAGUGGGACUUUGUCUCCUACAGAAAGGGAGGUGAUGGGCUCAAUGCUUAAGGCCUGGUGCUUUCCUUGGAUCAUAGCAACAGUCUAUUUGGACUGCAUGUUGCCAUUUAAUGAACAAAUGUAGACCCUUUACCACCAGCCGUGGAACAUUUUUACCUUUGCAAUAGUUUUAUUAAUUUGAGAAUCUCCUACAAUUUUCCUUCUUUUACCAUGUUUUCCACUGUCCAUUUCUUUCCAUCCAGCUUCAAGAUUGUUCCCCCACACCCCCAUCAAGUCCAGUUUGGGCCGCUUCGCUGACAUUGAAUGUGUUCACCCAAUCAGAUUACACCCUUAAAGAAACCUGACCUUCCCUCUCCCUGCAGCAAUCAAAUGCCAGUAGUUCCUCACUUAGGGGUGGUGCUGGGCACCUACCUCCUCACUUCUAUGAUGGGCUUCAGUUUGACAGGAGCUUGCGUAGGUCAUGUGCAUGCUGUCACAGUUGCUGCGAGCCCGUGUGCACACUUGCCCUGGUGUGGCUUGGUUUCCUUGGUGUUGUAAACCGCCUCUGGCUCUGAAUGAUCUUUCUGCUCCGUCUAACACAAAGAUUCCUAAGCCUUGCAGGGAGGGGGUAGGGGUGAAGGCGUGAAUGUCUGGUUUGCAACUGAGCACUCCAGUCUGAGUUUUAACCAGUUGUGGUUCUCUGUGAAUUGCCAUCUCCUGCAAGUAGAGCUUCUCUGAGGGCCCCUUGAAGUGCCAUGCAUAUGCUCCAUCUUGAGGGGUGGCCCUCUGAUCUAAUCAGAACAUGGUUGGUAAUUCCCUUAACACGUGUGCCGCUACUGCACCAGCAGGCCCAGCUCGUCCUGCAGUCAAUACAACUUACGAUGGCCAAUUAAUUCCUAGUUCACAGCUAUGGGAUAUGAAGGCUUACUCUUUUGGGUACCUUUUAGCAUCAUGAAUACAAGCCAAUAGGGAUGAAGCUUCCAGGUGAGUAGCAGCUUGAUGUCUCCGUGUUGUGUGACUUGUACAUCUUCAGCAAUAGGAUCUUACCAACAUGUUCGGGGGUAACCAGGAGCAAUGGUAAUUAAUAGCCUAUAAUGAUUGAGGAGCAGGGCUGGGUGGGUUGCAGUCUAUAUGACCCCAUUGGCAACAACUCAAAAAGAAGUAAUCUGCUCCCAUUACUGGGGUGUUUAUUUACCAACAUGGGUGUUUGUGUGUCUCUGGACAUCCUGGGGUGAGUUUGCUUUCUUUGUGGUCUGAAGCCCUAUGGCUGAGGGUUCAGAAUAGCUGUAUGUCCGUGACCCUGCAGCUUUAGUCUCCAGUACUAACCACAGCACAUGUUGGUGCAUCAGUGUUUUACAUCUUGGGGAACCCUUGGGGUUCCGUGGCCAUGGAACUACUGAAUUAGGAGCACCUUAAGUUUGUAGAUUUCCCUCUCCAGAAAGGUAGGGGUGUGUGUGUGUGUGUGUGUGUGUGUGUGUGUGUGUGUGUGUGUGUGUGUGUGAUAUCCCAGAGUGUUCUAGAACUGUGCCCCUGUAGUCAAGCUGUUUCUUCAUUUGAAGUCUUAACCUUAACUGUGUAGAGUUGCUGUAUAGACCGUGUGUGUGGAAGGCCCGUAGGCCAUUGCUCUGUACUCUGAAGGUUUCCUAUCCCCACUAUGCCUCCCUGUGAGAUACUCCCCUCCCCCGACACACACCCCUAGGAUGCUGAUCUCUAUGACAGGGAGCUGGGUAGAAAUGGAGAACACUCUGCCCUUGUCUGCUGACCUCCUGUGGAGCUCAGGCAGCUUAAGCCAGCUGUGGAGAAGCUGCUAGGAGCUAUGGCUUUGUGAAGAAAGCCUCCACCUUCACAGGUAGUGUAAAUGGCAGUCUCUCACAGUUCAGUCCUUCCAGUUGGGGUACUCACCAAGAGAGGUGACUCUUCCCUUGCUGGUAGUGCCCAGAGUGACUUAAGUGUCUGUGAGCAAUGGAAAAGUGUCCUGUGUUGGUUGCUUUCUCUUUGAUAUGAUUGAAAUACCUACAUAAAAGCAGCGUGGGGGAAGACGGAUUUUUGGCUCGUGUUCUGAGAGAGUAUAGUCCAUCUGUGUGGGGCGUGGUGUCAGGAGCCCGAGGCAGCUGCUCACAUCUCACCUACAGUUGGGAAGCAGAGAGACAAAUAUUCACUGUCAUCUCUUAGUCAGUCUGGGACCCCGGCUGAGGGAUAAUGUCACCCAUGUUUGCCAUGAGUGUUUCUUUCUUCCUCACUAAAUCUCUGCUAUCCUCAGAUGCAUCUAGAGAUUUGUCUCCUAAGUGACUCCAAAUCUAGCAGUCACAGUGAAGACUAACCUUCUCACUGUCCACUCUGCCUGGUCUUCGUCUCUUUCCCCUUGCUCUCCAUGAAGCAGCCCAGAGGCCACUGGGAUUGACAGGGGGGUGCAGGGAUGAGCCUCUCUCCACUUUCACCUUAGUUCAGUUUUAAUGUACUUAGUUUGAGACAGGGUCUCACUGUAUAUCCCUGGCUGGCACCCCGACUCCCACAAAUCGCUCUGCUCCCUGCGUACUAGGAUUAGAGGUGUUUGCCAUUGCUCCCAGCCAUCUCUACCAUUUUAGAACAGGCUGUGAAUUCUGCUGGUGAAUUCUGACCUGCUCCAGCAUCAGAGGAGUUGACCUGUAGCCUAGAAAGGACACUGUCUCCUUGGUUCCUGACCUAGUUUGGUUCUUGUUGCUAUGAUAAACACCAUGACCAAAAGCAACUCGGCGGAAGAAAGGGUUUAUUUGGUUUAUAGAUUAUAUAUUGUUCAUCCCCAAGAAAACUGAGGCAGGAAUUGAAGCAGAGACCAUAAAGGACGAUGCUUCCUGGCUUGUUUCCAGGCUCUGUUGACCUACCUUUCCUAAACCUCCCAGGGCUACCUGCCAGUAGUGCCAAGGUCUGGAGUGGGCUGGGCCCUCAUCCCAUCAACAAUUAAAUGUCCCACAGACACACUCACAGGGCAUCCUGAUGGAAUUCCUUAGCUGAGGUUCCCUCUUCCCAGGGCCUCAAGUUGACAACCAAGAGUAACCACAGCUGGGUCUGCAGAUGGCCCUUCUGUGUGUGCUACCGUGUGUACUCAUUUGAAUGGUCUUCCAGCAUCCAGAGGCAAGGACAAAAACCUGGUCACCUGGUCACCUGUCGUCCAUUGGUUCCAUCCCACCCAGUCCACCUGCUCCUGCCUUGGUACACUACCUGUUCAGGAGACUCUGUGUGUUGUGUGCAUGUAUGCAUGAGCACAUGCAUGUGGAACCUGCGGCACGUGGCUUCCCUUGCUGACCCUUUGUGUUGCAAGGUCUUUGUGGCAACAUGGACUAGUGUCUCCUCUGAGUAUGCAGGUCCACGGUAGGGAUACACACUUUGAUUUGUUUCCAUUUGUGUCAGGGGACAUUUGGGUUGUUUCCAAAUACAUUUUUAAACAGUUUGGAAGUUAGCUGUUAGCCUUCAAGCCCUGCUGGAAUUUCAAGUAUGUAACGAACUUUAUGGGGACCCAUGGGCCAGGCUGGCAGUUUUUCCAUAUUGAGUGGGAAACACAAGAAGUGUGUGUCAUGGUUGGUCCUUGUUUGUUUGUGGUCUUGGGGGUUGGAAUUGCACUUCGCCCAUGUAAGUCCCUCUGCACUUUGAAUUGUCCUGGGUCAUCAGAACCUGUCUGGUCUCUUGAGGUGAAUCACAGUAUGUCCGUGCUCUGCAAGAAUUCAGGCUUCAAUAUUGUUUCUCUGGUAGGUAAGUAUGGGAACGGCAAGCGUUGGCAGUCUGUGGCGCUGAACCUGGCUGGCUCACAAUGGAGCAGCAUGCUCUGACCGGUGCCUGGUGCUGCUUGUGCUUAGUGGCUCUCCCUUGCUAGCAUAGGAAGCUCAGCAGAAGUGAGCUGACCCUGUACUGUAUAGGACAGUCGUCCGUGACUGCUAUGCUGUCCUCAGGGCCUCUCCCUCUAGCUUUUUUCUGCAUGGGCCUGCUAGGUUUCCUGUUGUCUUUCUUCUCCUAGGAGAUAGAAGCUGCUGGGCAGACUGAGCCUUUCUCCUCCUUGCUGAGUUUGCCAUAGGCCCUUUCCAUGUCCUGAUUCAUAGUCAAGGGAGCCGUGUUGGAGAUUGGGUGUAGCUUUGACCAGCAUGUGAGGUCAGCAGCAGCUCUCACUGAAGCUUCAAAGGGAGAGGUGCUCAUUCAUGGUGAGUGGCUUUGGUAGCACCAGUGACAGCUAUAGACCUGCCCUGGAGAAAGCUGGGCCCAUGAGAUCUGUGCACCACUCUGUGAACAUAGCAUUGUGGUGAGCAUUCCUGUGCUUUUCUGCAGCCUCCUGUGGCCCCUCAACACACAAUCCUUUGACUUAGUCUUUGGCGAAUCCUCACCAGCUUCAGUUCUGUGCCUGGGUAAUCCCAUUCUUUUCCAUCUGGGUUCCCUCAUUUGCUGGCAAGUAUUUGUAAGUAUUAAGAACUAGUUACAAGUUGGGCAUGGUGGUAGCAGCCUUUACUUACAGUGGAAAGCAGGAGCUGUUGGAUUCCUCUGAGUUCCAGGCCAGUAUGAUCUACAUAGCAAGUUCUAGACCAGCCCUGGCUACAUAGUGAGACCCUGUCUCAAAACAAAAUGAACAAGAACUGUUUACAGAGGUAGUAGCACGGUGAUGCAUGUCUAGCAAUUCUGGAGACUGAGGCAGGAGAAUGGCUAUGAAGGGCAGCCUGAGCUGCAUGGUAGAUUCUGCCUGGAAUAGCAACAACAAAUAGACAAACAAAAGCCUUUCAAGCAACAUGUAUGCAGACAUAAAGCCCAAGAAGAAGGAAUUCUAGCCAGCCCCAGGGCAGCCAGCAUGUGUCUCCCUGCCUGCAGUGGUUGGACUGGGUGGUUCCCCACGUCAUAUAGUUUAUAAAUGUCUAUUUGCAUGCCAUCAGCUGUGCACUGGGGACUCCGGUGUCCCAUGUCCUUGAAAGUGUCCUUUCUCGGGUUUGUUUAAGUCAGUAUUUGCACACAUAAUAAGCUCUCAAGCCUCCAGCAUUGUUCUUAGGCACUGUGCCAAUGUCCUUUUAAGUUCUCCCCCUCCCCCAAUAUCUUUUUAAAAAUUGUGUGUGUGUGUGUGUGUGCGCGGGUGUGUCCCUGGAGGUCAGGAGAGGUAUCAGACCCCUGAAGCUGGGUCUGUAGGUGGGUAUGAGCCAUCUAUUGUAAGUGCUGGGAACUGAACUCAGGUCCUAGAAGUGAAGCAAAUGUUCUCAACUGCUGAGCCGUCUCUCCAGACACUGAUUUCAAGUUCUUAGAGAUCCCUCCCAACUGGGAGAAAGCUGCCCCAUGCAGAUGCUCCAUUGCCUACAAAUGUCCCAUUUCCCCAGUGUACCUUUACGCCAUCACAUUCCUCACUGUGCCUGCCUUCCUCAGGCCUCUGGGCAGUGGCCAGCCAAGUGACUCACUCGGCUUCAGUUCCCUCUGCCCAUCUAUACAGUUGGUGCUCUGCUCGCCUCCCUGAAGAUGGGGUCUUGUCCAGCAGGUUUCUUCCACAUGUCCCUAAGGGCCGUGGAAUGACCGCCCUAGUGCACCUCCCACUGUCCAAGGGAAGUCACCUGAAUUUGGAAGGAAUGUGCAGGCCUGUGUUACCCUCGAGCCCGAAGCUCCAACGUAGGAACAGCAUGGGUGCGCCGCUCAAGUGCAGAGUGAAGAGGCCAGGAAAUGGCUUGCCCGUGUGGCCAAGCAGAGCCAGGGGAGUGAAUGUGGAGGGAUGAAGCUGAAGAGCUCACAAGGCCCACCACGAGAUGAAGAACCACAGGCAACUCAUGACUGCCUCAUGUCAGUCAGUCUUCAGGGACAAGCUCUCACAGGGAAUCCAAACCCAGGCAGUCACCCCCAAACACUUGUUACAAGCAACAAUAAAUGGGCUUAGCAGGGUGGGGUGUGUGUGUGGUGGUAUGUGUAUGUGUGGGUGUGGUGGUUGUGUGUGUUGGGGGAGGGUUGGGGUAUGUGGGGGUGAGAAUUUUAGGAGUCGGGACACAGGAAUUGGAGUGGGAAGAGGGCGUGGUGGACAUGAUGUAAAUAUAGUACUCAUGUAUGAAGUUGUGAAGAUGUGUCUCUGCUAGAGCCUAUUGGGGAACGCCAUAAAGGUCCUUUAAAGGACAGCAGUCAGGGCCUGCUUCCUGCACAGCCCAGAAUUGAAACCACCUGCAUGGAGGACUGCUGUUCUUCAGUGUUCUGAGGAAUGGGGGAGCAGCUUUAAUUUAUUUUAAAUUGCAAGCCUGUCUGUCCUCAGGAAGGAAUCGAUUAAAGAGGCCAAACAGCCCUGUGGAUUGUAUCUGCUUGAUUUCAACAAUUUACUCCCUAAUUAAUUAUUCUGACUAGGAAAAAAAAUUGCCCUCUAUGGGAUGCCAGUAUUUAGAAGUGACAUUUCAAAUAGCUGGUGGGAAAAUUGAGGACAUUUUCUGUUUUCUGUCACUUGUUAAAUUUGCUUUUGAGAUGCUCCUCCGGGGGCUGUAUUAGGUCCAACCUAGGGACUUAAAGUGAAGUGUUCAUUCCACAGGACCCAUUGAGCUACGAUGGGUGGCGGUGGGGUGGCUGUAAGGGAAGCCUCACUCCCCUGGACAAAGCUGUGGCUACUGUGGUUUUUCAGUUCUUAUAUUUGGUGGGAGGAACAUUGAAUGUUGUCUGGAGGGAAUAUCAUGGAUAUGUGUCUCACUAUUCCAGGUGUGAAAGUCUCAACGUUACAGAUGUGCUCUGUCUUCUGAGUGUGAAGUGGUAUUUCUGUUUAUUGUAAUUUAAGACGAAUGUGAGGAUUUUCUUGCAAUUGAAAUGCUCCUGAAACAAGACACCGUACUUGUAAGCCGUCCACUGAAGGUCACAUGACAGCCACCCUAGCUCAUCUAGGAUAGUGAAUGGUCCUGCUUUGGCGUGUUAUGGGAGCUCUUUACCACAAGCAGAAGCAGGAGUAGCAUGUUCUCUAUGCAGUUUUAGCAUCAGUUUUCCUCUAGACAAGGACUCUCCUGUGUCUGUAGACAGGGUGGUCUCAGAGGGUCGCACAGGUCCACCAUAACACAGGAGUCUCCCUUCUGCUUUCUUUCAAUACUGGGGUUGAGCCCAGAGCCUUGUGCACGUUAAGCAAGCAUUCUACCGACUGAGUUACAUACUCAGCCUUGGCUGACUUCUCCUGCACAAAAGGUACUCAGGCUCAUCCUGUACUCCAUGCAGCUGCUCACAGAUUGAACUGCAGUGCCUUCAGCCUGGAGGGAAAGGGUUUGAGUGUCAUUCUGUGGCUCUCCACAGCUGGCAUUCUGCCCACCUUCUUCCUCACCACUAAGGGAACUUGAAUACAUUCAGCACAUUCUAGACUCUCUUUGGUAUUUUAAGUGUGGAAGGCAAAAGGGAAGAUCCAGUGGUGGUGCCUACGAUUUGUCGCCAUGACAGGCACAUGGUGAGUGGAACUGUUUGUCGUGGGGUCUUGGUAUCUCUGUGACACAGAUUCAGAGGCCUUGCCUGUUUGGAGAGGGGGCGGUGGGACUUGGAGCUAGCCAGUGUAGAUGUCACUCAGGCUUUGACUGGUCACUUUAGUGGGAACACAGAGUAGGCCACUGAGAGAUUCAAGUGACAUGGGCCUGGAGUGGUCAAAGUAUACGGAACAUUCGAAACCCUGUGGCUGAAGAAGAUCCCGUCCUGGCUAUAUUGGGGCAGAGCUGCCUGUUGAACACAGCCCUACAGAUUCUGGUUUUUGAGGAUGGUUGUAGGAGAAGAAGCUGAAGAACACAGGUAUCUGACUGCCAGCUAUGGCUGUAGUCUUAGGUAGGGUUUUAUUGCUAUAAAGAGACACCAUGACCAUGGCAACUCUUGUUAAGGAAGGAAAACUUUUAAUCACGGCUGGCUUACAGUUUCAGCAGUUCAGUUCAUUAUCAUCAUGGUGGGAAACAUGGCAGUGUGUGGGCAGAUUUGGUGCUGGAGGAACCAAGAGUUCUAUAUCUUGAUCUGAAGACUGGAUAUGUUUCCUACUAGGCCAAGCUUGAGCAUUCAGACAUUAAAGUCCCACCUCCACAGUGACACACUUCCUCUGACAAGGCCACACUGCCUCCAUUAAGGUCACACCUUCUCAUGCCUCUUCCUAUGCCAAGCAUAUUCAAUCCACCACAACUGUCUUGAGUGGGUAGGGGUUAAACUGAAGCUCUAACUUACUUACUGCAAGAGCACCUCUAUUCGCAUUAUGGGUUGGGAGGACACGAGUGGAUUAGGAGACAGAGAGGCAUGGACAGUUGAUGGGAUCUAAGCUUUUGUUCUGCAGUGGAUGUCUAGUGGCUGGCUUGAUGUUCUUUACAGAAAGCCCUGAAUGUGUAACCGUAGGCCUAGCAUUAUUUUCUCUUUGCUCUUGGACAGUAUUAUGCCCCUGGGGUCUGUGCCUUUCUUUCAAACUUUUGGGGUCUUGGCUGGUUUUGUUCCUUUGAAGAGACAGGUUUAUUGUACUUGUGUGCUGCUGAGAGUGACCUGCCAUAGACGGGGUGUUUCCAGCAUGAGCACUAGUCUGUAAGCAGAAGGCUGCUCCUUGAUCAUGUUGUAAAAUUAUAAAUAAUAAAACUUCCUUUUGCCCCAUUAGGUCCGGCUUCACAGCGCCCCAAGGUGUCUGGUAGAUAUCUUAAUUCUCAGUCAGCAAAGCGUCUCACCUGCUCUGCUCCAUCCUGUAUCACACUGCCGAAGGCCUCUCUCUGAGCCUGGCAACAAUCUCUCUACCCAUCCAGUUCCUAAGGCAGGCUGUCACCAUGCCAGAAAUAUACAUCUCAAUUCCGUGGUGGCUUAGUGUCUCUGGCCGCCACAUACUCUCUUAAAUUUAAUUUGCCACAAAAAAGAGCACACAGCACAAUAACCUCUGAUCUAAUUGAUAAGAUGUAAUUGCCCACCUAGACAUACAAAGCUCUGUACACAUCCAUCCCUUAAGAACAUUCAUAGCAACCUGUAAAGGUACAGAGUGGAAUCUUAACAUCCGCCUCCGUGUUUUCUCCACGGCUUCUUCUCCAGUCUCCUUCCGUUCCAGUCUCCUCCUCUUCCCUCAGACUUUUUUCCCCACCCAUCCUUCCUUCUUGUCCAAUGACAGGCACCGUUCUAUCUUGUACCAGCCUUCAGCUGAAUGACGUCAUCCUACAUGGUCAAGUAUCUACAGUUCCCCCAAAGAGCAGGCAGGAAGGUGCAGGUUGGGUGAGGGGUGACUGCGGGCUCUGCUGCCAUCCUGCAGUCAGAAGCAAAGUCGGAGGGAGGAAUGGGAGAAGAGGUCAGUAGGAGGACUUGCUGGGGGUGUGCCUAAAGGACACUGGUGUGCCCUGAGGUACCACAGGAAAUGGGAGAUCCGGCACAAGUGUGCUCAUCCCACCUCAGCCUCCUGAGUAGUCACAAGGAGUGUGCUUCCUCAGACCAGGCUGGCCUCGAACUCACAGGGAUCAGCUUGCCUCCAGCGUGCUGGGAUGAGAGGCCUGUGCCACCACAUUCUUGUUUCGUAAUGUUUCUCAAUUCAUCACACCCAUAAUGUGGUGGUAGCAAAAGACUAUCUCACGGAGCUAUCUUCCAUGUCCAGGAGACAAGUUCAGUGUACCCAGAGCACUGUGGUUAUUAGUGAAUUUGUCUUUAGGCAAUGGCUUUGUGGGCUUGUGGGACACUGUCGAGGUUGUCAAAAGAUGGUUCUCUCGGAGCAGGUUCUUACUAAGUCUGCCUACCUGCAUGACAUUAACAUGGGGGCCAUAGGCAGCAAGCUGUGGAACCAACCACCCUGCUUAGCUGGGCUCAGUGUCAUGGGAGGAGUGUAUGUCUCCAGGUUCAUAUCAGCAGGUUGAACACAGUAGAGGAAGCUGCACAGGAGAACCCAGGUUGUGGAUAUGGUGUGCAGAAAUUCUGGGUACCAGAGGGCUUUGAGGAGAGGUGACAGCUGCCUCAGUUACCCAUUGGAGGCUGCUUCCCAUGGUACAGGUGUUCCUAGGAAGUCAGCCUCGCAGAGCACAGAGGGCUUGCCAGGGGCACACUGGAACUCAUCAGCCCUGGGGUCCGGGCAGUUUAGUGUGGUCCAAGGCACGGUGGAAGCUAUGGAGACACCCACCACUGACUUAACCAAGGAAGUGGGGCUUAGUAUCUGGCCUGAAAGAGAAAAGGAGGGGCACCUGAGUUCAGUCUGGUGACAGCAGGCAUGAUGGACAACAAGCAGUUCAUUUUAGGGCCUGGCUUUUCUCUGCGGUUUGCUGGCAAAUUGGGGAAACUGCUCUGUGAGACUUGACUCUGGUGGGGCAAGUGGUGGAGGUUUGAGAUGACACUGUCAGUGUCUUACUUACUGCUAUGGGGGACAUGUGCCCCCUUCCUGCAGCUGGUCUCACCCCUCCCCCACCUCACCUUUCUAUGUUAGAUCAUGUAGCGUGAUGAGCUCUGAGGCACACAGGUGAUCAGAGGACAGCAUGAGCCUUGCAGCCUGGGCCCUGGCUGGCACUGCUGUCUGCCAAGAUGUCCCCGACAGAAGGGCCGUUUGCCAGUUCUCCUGGGUGGUAGGUAAUGCCUUGGCUUGAGAAAGGGCCUGUGUUGAGUAGGUUAGUAGAUGUUCAUAGGUUCUGCUACCUCAAUGGAAAAUAUGACAUUCGUUCUUUCCAAGACAGGCAGAGGGCCAAGGCUUGGUCUCAGACCUGUGUGGUAGAACUGAGACGUGAGGGGGGCACCCUGCUUUCUCUUCCUUCUGGACCUCCCACAUCUGCUCAGGUGCCCUGCCACAACUGCAGCUCCAGCUCACACCUGCCGGUUUCUGGGGUAGCAUUUUUCUCCCGAUUGUCUUUCUAUUAAAAUGCAUCUAGUCUCACAGAUCGUGAGGAGAACCAGACUUAAGCAGACUCCAGUGGAUGACUGGUCAUGGCCUGGUAGAGAUUCAAGUUUGAGGUCUCUGUGUGUCCUCAGCUCAGACUGGGAAGCAAGUGGUGAGGAAGCCCUGGUCCAACCUAUGCACACUGCUGUUGGACAGACACGUUCCCAAAAAGGAGUUCAAACAGUGGUGGCCAGGCCUGGUCCUGCCAUGUUGUUGGUUGUUAUUAAUGCUGAUAAUAUGUGCAGAUAGAGCACAAGCAAAGUUGAACCACACUACUCUCCUUAGUAGGUGAAGGCUGGCCCUCUCGUUAGCAGGAGGGGUGCAGCACAGAAAACAGGAUUGUACGGCUGCCGCCCUGUUGACCCUGCAGCUCACAGAGCCUGAGCAGCACCGGGCUGCCAGCAGUGUGGGCAGCCUCUUCCCUUGAGGUGUCUGGUGAGACGUGUGUCAAAUGGGGUGGCUCUGUCUCUUCCUCAGAGAGUGGUUAAGUACCAUGCAUGUGGAAAGUCCGGGGAGGAAUCUUCCUAGUAGUAGAUGGAGGAGCUCGGGUGGAAUGUGGACCCCUGGCCAGGGAGUCAGCCCUAGGCAGGGCUGUUAUUUCCACACAGUUGUAUUUUCAGUUGUGCAGGUCCACUGUGAACUCCCCUAGCCAUGGUGUGAGCCCAGAGUGGGGUUUUGGACCUGGCGGUAUUCCUGGCUUUGGGGUGGAAGAGCAGGACCCCUGGCUGGACAGGGUCCCAGGAGCUGGAAAGCACCAGGAUCUCCCCAGGACUGUAACUAUGAAGAACCUUCGUGUGUCCCACUCGGGAACGUGCAGUUUGAACCAGCCCACUAUGGACCUCGAGCUGGGAGUAUUCCUAGGUCUCUCUUUGUGAAAGGGAGCAGUGGCUGCUCACGAUUUCCUUUUUGUGAGCUUUGUCAUGGUUAGUUGAGAAUGAGUCUUGCUGGAUAGCCAAGAGUAACCUUGAUCUUCUUGCCUCCACUUCCCAGGUGCUGGGGUUACAGAAAUGUACCUCACACCCAGCAAGAGCUGCCCUUGCUAAUUACAGCUGUCAAGUUGAGUCCUUUUUUUUUUUUUUUUUAAUGUCAGCUGCCAAGGAUGAGGACCCUUCUUUGCAUAAAGGCAUUGUCUGCAGAUCUACUUUCUUUAUGACAGUCCUCAGAGGCUGUGGAAUAGUUCACACUUUGGUCUGUAGUCUGCUACUAGGAGUGGGUCUGCCAUUUGGCCCAGGAGCCCGGGCCCUUCUCAUGCCAGUAAGCACGUAGAGGUAUGAAGUGAAUUUGAGUAGGCGUAGACAUGCUGAAGCCUUGGAAAGUGUAAGCGCCCCUGCCUCACCUGAGAAGAGGCUGACUGUGCAGAAUCACAGUCCCUCCCGAAGGCUUGGGAUUCCCUGUAAAGACUGGCAGUGUUGGAUUAUAAAUCAGUAGUUUUACUGUUAUGGCCACUGACAUCAGCUACUUUUAUUUCCCUGUGCAUCCAACCAGUCCACAGUUGUGCAUAAAGAGACACAGGUCUCAUGAUCAGGCUGCUUACAGUCUAGUAAGAGGCAGACUCUGACCCUAGGAUCAUAAAGUGUGGUGACUCCGGACUUAAGGAAAGCUAGAGUGAGACAUUCUGCUCAGCUUCCUCAAGUUACCCCAAGGCUCACUGUGGGACAGUUUUAAGCAGGUGCUCAGUGGCUGGGCCACCUUGUGGCAGUUAUAUCAGGAAGAGUGACAGUGGUGCAGUUAUGGGUAGCUGGCCCCGAAGCCAACUUUCUUCAGCAGCUCCUCUUUGGUGUGGUAGUUUGAAUAGUGCAGAGGAAGAGUUGCUGGGCCUGUGUUUAACUUGUGAGGGGACGGCUCAGAAUUUACUAGGCAAAACUAUUUUUGAGAUGGGUUUGGGGGCCAUUUCUCAAAGAGGUUCAUGGUUGGAGUUUCAUACUGAAACACAAAAGCCAUUGAAAACCCACUGUAAACCAGCUGUUUCAGUUUGAGAUGAAAUGAGUGGCCGGACCUACGCAUGGGGUGUCACUGUCACAGCUGAUCCGGAGCUGCGUGUGCCCCUGCACUCACAUGGCACAUCCUAUCUCCUGCUGAAAUAAGGUCAACAUAUAUUUAGCUGAUUACUCAUUAAACCAAAAGGGCCACAUGAGCAAUUGUAGUACUGCACCGUCUGGGCCCCUCAGAGAAACCUCCCCUACCCAGCACCCUCACACCCCUCAGUGUCUGCUCCCCAAGGGCCUCACUUCCUGUCUCACCCAAACGAGUUAUGAUACAAUAGAAGAUUUCCCAGAGGGUUUUUUUUUUUUAAAUCAGGUGUGAUCAAAGCAAAAGACUCCUAGACAGCUAGUAACGUUCAAGGAUGGCAGGUUUCUAGAGAACGGUCUCUGUUUCCUUUCCUCUCAGGCAGAGGGAUAGCCUCAUUCCCCACUACACAGGAGAAAGGACCUCACUGAAGGGCCUUGUGAUAGGAACAAGAGAUUUAUCAGGACAUUAGGUGGUGGCCGGAAUUCCUGGUUGUAUGUCUCCAAGCCUGUGUACUCUGGAACAUUUAAAUUCUGUAGUGGCCCCAAACAGCUUCUGAGAUCAAACUAUCCCAUUCUAAGGCACACCAGUAACCACUCUGUGGUCAGUCUCCUAGGGUCAAGACUGUCACAGCCAGCAGUGCUAGGAUGGUCACCCUUUUUGCCGUAGCUUUCUCAGCUGCAUCUCAGCAGUGUUUGCUAAGUCUGGACCCGGAGCCAGGACCUGGAAGAGCAAAAGCUCCCUCCCUCCUUCCUGCUCCGGUUAUGUUAAACCCUCUCAUGUCCUUGCCUGCUUGCUCGGCUUACAGUCGAGUUUGCCAAGCCGUGGGAGUCAGAACUGGGAUGGGAGGUGUCUGACCACAAGCACGGUUCCAGUCCAAGCCGUACUUGGCCAGAUGCGAGGCAGACGUGAGCUUGAGUGUUCCUGUGUUGAAAGGCGCUCCUGAAGCAGGGCAGGCUUUGGGUUUGGAGUCCUCACUGGUUGGUGGUUACCCAAGUCUUCCCCGACAGUGGUUCUACACUAGUUCUGCUGACGGUGCAUGGUUCCUUCUCCAGCCAUGGAGCAGAUGGCCCUGGCUCCAUUCUUGGUACACACUCUAGGCAUCUCUUUCUUGGUCCAAAAAGACUGACUGUGUUUACCGUAGCUCUGUCAGUGUGGGUGGCAUGUGCACGACAGCCGGAUUGUCAACUAUGUACUGCAUCCUGAGUCUCCAGAACCUACUGUCAGUCUGUGCUCCUGCAAGCUGUCAGAUCUGUCCUGGGGCCUGUAAUGUCCAACUUGGGCCUGGACAACAGUCCUGCCUGACUGUCGCCUAGCCGAGAACCCAGGCAAGCCAGGCAAGCCACCCAACCCGAAAAAGUCUGUAGACACUUUCCUGUGUGUGAGCUUGACCGUGGCAGAGAGGCGCUGGUGUCCAUGCCUGGCGUGGCCCAGGGUGUGGCACGGUACUCAGCUUCCUGGCUGUGUGUCACAUUCUUUUCAUUCAUAAUUUCUGGCCAGUGUUCAGCGCAAGCACAGAGUUCUACAAGGCAGAGGAGCUGUGUGCCUUCAAAGGUACUUGCUUUGAAACCCAGCCCUGGAACGAACUGUGCAAUCACGCAGUGUUCCAUCUCCCUCCAUGGAUGCCUGGGGCUGGCUACGCUGGGUCCUGAAGGAAGAGCCCUGGGUUCCACUCCCCCUGGGGUUGCUUGGCUAGGUUGGAAUUUAGUAUGGCACAGAUGUCAUAUUCACAGCUGUCCACCUGCUUCAGCUUUCAGGAUGCUAGAAUACAGGCUGUAGCCAGCACAUCUGGCUUGUCAUUGCUUCUUAAGCCACUGUGUGUGGUGGGAAUUUUCAUAAGGAGUGUGUGUGCGCGUGUGUGUGCACGCGUGUGGACAGGUUAACACAAGAGGUUGUCAUCAGGUGUCUCGAUUUUUUUAAAGACAGUGUCUUUGAACCUGGCACACACCAAUUGGCUAGACUGGCAGACCAGCCCGAGGAAUCUGUUACUUUUGGCCCUCCAAGUGGCUUUUCUAAUAAGCCCUGGGGCUCUGAGCUCAGGUCCCCAUGCUGUCUUGGCAAGUGCUUUACUGGCAGCUACCCCCACGCCCACUCCCUCCUGUAAGUCACCCAGGAGUGAAGUCAUGCAACCUUUGUUCUGUUUAAAGGUCAUACAGCUCAUACUUAGAUGUCAUGGCAAGACUGCUUUCAGCAGGUGGGUGGUGACAGGAAGCAGCCUUCUGGGAAGGGUGGCAGCUGUCCUCUAUGCUUCCCUUUUCCCCCAACUCCCAUUGAACCCCUCAGAUCUGGGGUUCAGUAGCCCCUUAUGUCUCUGUGCAUGUAGACCUGAACCUGGCCGAUGAUUCAGCACACUGUGCAAGCAAGGGGUGGGAAUUUUCUCCUGGUUUCCCAGGUGACUUCCUGCUCCGCUCCGUGUGGUUUGUCACAUGACACCUGUGGUCUUCAGCUGGCACAGGUAUACAGUGGCAGCAAGAUGCAUGCUUGCUGCACAGUAGGCGCUUAAUGAAAGCCUGACCAUGGGGGUGGGGAUGCGGGAGUUGUGUUAGCUGAGCAGGUUGAAGGUUUGUUUUAAAAAGGUGUGUUGUUCAUGCCUGUGUGUCUUUGUGUGCCCUGGGAGAGCAGGUGCCCCUGAAGUUGGAAUUGCAGCCCUUGUGAGCUGCCCUGUAUGGGUGCUGGGAGCCAUCGCUCGAGCCCUUGAACAAUUGUUCGUUUUUGUUGUUUUAUUGUUUGGGGGUUUUGUUGUUGUUGUUGUUGUUUGUUUUCCUAGUUGACAGUGUCUCCCUAUGUAGGUAGCACAGGCUAGCCUCUUUAACUCAUGAUCCUCCUGUCUCAGUCUCCUGCAUUCCGGGAUUGUGAGUGCACACCCCCACUCCUAUGGUUAAUUCUAUAGAAAAUCUCUGGACAGUCAUAUCCAUCUGCUUUCACACUUCCCAGAGUGGUUUGUCUCCACAUGGGCCCAUACACUUGCAUACGAGAGCAUAUGGAAUGCCUAGUGUCGUGUCCCAGGGCCACAUGAUAGCUACAUGUGUGUGCAUGCCAGGAUGUCAUGUGGAGGUGCCACUGUCAGGCCUCCUCAGGACACCAGUCUCCUGAUUCAAACUUGAUGCCGCCCAUGCCAGCAGCCUGCAUGAUGAGCAGACGCAGGAGAGGCUGGUUGCCAUGGCAGUGGUAAAUGGUGAACUGACGCACAUUGUUGCAGCCAUGGAGAUAGCAGAGCCCCUAUCAUGUCUGCAGGGUGCUGGCCUGACUUCCCAGCUGCUCCUGCCUCAGGAGGGCAAGUGCCACCAUUUCUGAAUGGCCCCUAGAGAGAAACAGUUAACCUGCUCAUCCCCCAUAGUCAGUCUGAGGGCAGGUUUACUGUUUUCAGGAUCUGGGUACCAGCUUCUGCCUAGAGACCCAGGGAAGCUGGUUCUCACAUGUUCAGAUCACGAGUUCCUUUGUCAGCCUGGUGACGCUGGUGUGGGAAUUUUUUCUAGAAUAAUGAUUUUCAUGGCAGAAACAAAAUAUAUAGGCUGAUAGAUCAAAUGAGUCAUACUGAAUUAAAGCCAUCAAAAUACCAAAUCUAAUAUGUGAUACAAAAUAAAGGACUUCUUUAUCAUACAUAACCGCAGAGUCCUGAGGGCGAUGGGGAACACACUACAGUGCUAGCAAGGGUGGUGGCCACGGGCCAGCUGGGCCUCUUGCCACCUGAUACUGUGUCGAGGACAGGUACUGGGGCAGACAGGACUAAGCUUUCCCGGGAUGACUUGCGGUGCCAGGUUUUGAGUGUGGCAUUCAUUCAUCCUGAAGGAGAGAUGGUCAGAAUGCUGGGCUGGGAUAGACAGCUGGUCUAGCAUUAGAAGGCCCUGGGUUCAAACCCCACUCUAUAGAUGUGGUGAUGUAUACCUGUGAUCUUAGCACUGGUAAGCUAGAGGCAGGAAGAUCGGGAGUUCAAUGUCAGCCUUGUCUACAAAGCAAGUUUGAGGCUAACCUAGGUUACACGAGACCAUCUGGGAAGAAGGAAAGGGAGAAAGGAGAAGAGAAAGAAAGGAAAGAAAGUCUCAGAACUCAGUGUGGAGUUGCAGUGUGGGGAGGGAAUGCUGGAGUGAGGGUAGCUGGAGGGGGACCCGCAGAAUGCACGCAGCCUCUAGCUCCCAUUGGUUCCUUGUGUCCACGGCACACUGGUGCCAGAAGGUGUCAUCCAUACAGGGAUGGCCUAUGCUUGUCUCUUAAGCCAGACAGGCCAGGAAGACGAGCAGGUCAGCACUGAGGGAGGGUGCUGUUGGAGUUCCCACUGUGGGGCCUGGUUUCUGUCCCAGGAUGAAGGGAGAUAGAGGUGUGUUCUCUCAGGGGCAUCGGCCCAGACUCUGUGGUCCAGGGGGAGUUUGGAAAACACUAAGGUAGUUUGGAGGCUCUGGGCAUGGGUAUAAUGUGAAAGGAAGGAUGGGGGUUGGGGUGGAAAAACCCGGGCAGGUCUAGCUGGGGCAUGUGUACUUAGAAGGCUCAUUUUACAGGGAUUGUCUUGUGGUGACUUUCUCUGCGGUUUUAUUCUACUUUCCUCUGUCUUCUGUCAUUUUUUAUUAUCAAGGUUGAAGAGAAUAAGGUGUAUUACACAGUACUGGCGCUGCUUCAGUUCUACUGUGGGUAGAAGCCAGGCCCCUUCACUCACUGGUCCCUGGCUGGCUAAGAACAUUCCUGAGGGCCUGUGCAGGGGGUCAGGCCAGGUGAGGAGCAGGGCACAGGGCAGCCUGGACCCCUGUUCCCUAAGCCUGUAAGGAGAGGGAGUAUAGGUUUUUCCAGAAGGCACCAUGACCUUCCUUGGUAGUGGUUUGUGGCCAAGCAUUGGUCACCAUCCUGCAGCAGGGCUCCUGGGUAGGGGACAAUCUGUCUACCACCCACUUCCUGACUGCCCUAGGAGGAAUGGGCUGGGUGGGCCUUUUGUUGUUUGUUUGUUUGUUUGUCAGUCCUGGUGUGGGAGGCUGAGGUCAGAUCUGUGCCAGGGACCCAGAGUAUCCCAAGCCUACAGGUGUGUGGUAUGUUGCUUCCAGGACCUGCCCAUGACCUAGUACCCUGUUCCUGAUGGUUCCACUCCAUGUUCAUUGUCUGAAGCUGGUGUUUGUGCCUAAACUGAGCACACAGGCUUAGCAAAUGUUUCCAGAGUGCAGCACUGUCUCUUAGAGGGAGGCUGGGGCUAUGUGCCAGGUGUGAGAGUGGUCGGCCUAGGGCAAGGGUCUUAGCAUCCUCUCCCUGUGCAGAUCCCCCAUGUGCCUUGGGACUUUUGAGGCCAUCCUGUACUGCGGCAGGCUAGGCCUCUUUUGGCAUCUGUCACAAACAGCAGAUCUUUUGGUCUCCUGGACGCAGUUGCUCAUACAGGAAGUCGGUUACUCAUUCUCUGUGUUUCCCUUUCGCUGUUUGUGAUGGAGCUCUAAAAAUGGAGCUCUAAAACAAAUGUGCUAAGUGAUCAGCAAGUAGGCAAACACUGGGUGCCUGCGCUGUUGUUGGCGUCACGCUGGGACUGAGUCCUGGGAGUCUCCCUGCCAGGGAACCCUCUCCAGGGAGCGAGUGGAUCUGGGUGGAUGUAUCAUCCAGGGGUUGAGGGGUGGCACUGCCCCUCCCCCGGGCCUCCCGAGAAGGCAGCUGGAAACAUGCAGAACAAGGGUAGGAGACCAGGUGCCAAGCAGAGUGUCUGGGUGCUAUGGGGGGAGGGUUGGGGGAGAAAGGACAUUGGCUAUGCCUGGGGUAUAGAGAGGGUGGGGCCAGUCACCAGGGAGUCUUUGAUGCUUCCCCUCACUUAAAUCUCAAUAUCGUCAGUGUCAGACUAAAGGGCUGAAGGGGGUGUGCCGCCUUUCCUCUCUUCAAGCUUGGCACAUUACUGUGGGGUCCAGAGUCUCUACCUCACAAGCUUAGCUGUUUCGCUGAUCUCCUUUCUCUUAGGAGCUCUGUGCUCAUGGGGAGCCAGCUUCUCUCCAGGGCUUUGGGUCUCAACCUCCUGCUUGUUUGGCAGUGUGCACUUGGGGCUCCCCGGGAGUGAUAAAAAUAGGCCUCUGGUGUCUCAGAAGAGGGAUCACGGGAUCACAGUACUUAGGAAGAGGUCUAGGCCGGAGAACUUGUAUGAGCAAAAUAUGAUUUUCUGUUCUCCGUGGCUUUCUAUGAAGUGACUGCCUUGUCAUUCUUUGCAGAAGUAAUGGAAACAGUAUCUUGUGAAAUUAUGCUUCACGUUUCCUUGUUCCCUUUAUUAAUUCUCCUGCAGCCCCAGCCAGCUAGUGAUACUCUGCAGUUCCAGUAGCUGGCCAUCGGGGGUGGGCUUCCCAGUGACCUGAGAAGUGAAAGUCUGAAAAGAAACUGUGGCCAGGUCUAGGUGCUGAGGCCACAUCAACUGUGACAGGAGAGAGGGUCCUGGGCUGUGCUCCUUUGUCGCCUUUUUAAGCUGAUCAUUGGCUCUCACAGUGUCUGAGCUUCCUGACUCUGGUUUGACCGAUCCUGUUCUAAGCUUCCUUCCUCUACUUGGAGCAGUGGAGACCACCUAAGAGCAGGGUCCACAGUCUAUUGGCUGUUCUUUGCUAAGUCUUCUUUUGACCUGAAGGACAGGUUUGUUGAGCUUAUCUGGAUAGUCUGUGUCCCGAUCAAGGUCUGUGGAGGGAAGGGUAGUGGGUGUCCUGGUGAGCUAAUGAAAACUGACUUCCUCCUGCUGGGUGACGCUCAUCCAGAAAGGAGAAGCCCAUGCGAGGAGAACAGUUUUUCUCCUCCUUUUAAGGCUCCUUGACACGUCCGGGCCUUAAGGGGGCUGGUGGUUGAGUGCCUGCUUUCAAAUCUGUAACUAUGUUACCUCUGAAGUCAAGUGAGUGUAGACGAGAGGCUUCGUCACUUCUGCGCUGCUCAGCUAAGUGGUUCUUUAGCUUUCUUGGAGAAACAAAACAGAAAGUGAGCAAGCCUGGGACUCCCGAGACAGCUGGCAAGUACUGUUUUUGGUGGAGUGUUUAUUCCCAGUGAUUGUCAAUGGGCAUUGUGGCGUUUUAAAAAUGCAGGCGGCUGGGGCUGGAGAGGUGGCUCAGCGGUUAAGAGCACCCAACUGCUCUUCCAGAGGUCCUGAGUUCAAUUCCCAGCAACCACAUGGUGGCUCACAACCAUCUGUAAACAGAUCCGAUGCCCUCUUCUGGUGUGUCUGAAGACAACUACAGUGUACUUAUACAUAAUUAAUGAAUAAAUCUUUAAAAAAAAUGCAGGCGGCUUAUCUCUUGAAACAGGAUGUUUAAAUGAAAAUUACAAGUGGUCUGUUAUCAAACAAAUACGUAGUUGUGUUUU